AACCAUUAGGGGGCUGUGGUUUGCCAGGGCAGGAGGUGGAAGGGAGCCCCAUUUACAGUGGUAACUUCCUUUCCCUUUCCCUUUCCAUCCUGGCAGGCUUCAGAGAACUUUACCAG
RNAcentral lists this microRNA precursor (116 nucleotides) under Pan paniscus (pygmy chimpanzee). RNAcentral describes it as "miRNA (ENSPPAG00000017210.1)". The record is from RNAcentral. Lineage: Eukaryota; Metazoa; Chordata; Mammalia; Primates; Hominidae.